RNAcentral lists this ribosomal RNA (1043 nucleotides) under Schizangiella sp. ARSEF 2237. Its description in RNAcentral is "eukaryotic LSU rRNA". It matches the Rfam family "Eukaryotic large subunit ribosomal RNA", at positions 69 to 932 of the family's 3401-position model. The record is from RNAcentral. Lineage: Eukaryota; Fungi; Basidiobolomycota; Basidiobolomycetes; Basidiobolales; Basidiobolaceae.
CUAGGAUUCCCUCAGUAACGGCGAGUGAAGCGGGAAGAGCUCAAAUUUAAAAUCGGUCAAGUUAUUUUUCAACUUAAUCGAGUUGUAGUUUGAAGAAGUGUUUAUCGACUUCGAUUCUGGCCAAAAUCCUUUGGAACAAGGUAUCAUAGAGGGUGAAAGUCCCGUUUUUAGCCAGAAAUUCGCAAGUCACUGUGAUACACUUUCAAAGAGUCGAGUUGUUUGGGAAUGCAGCUCAAAAUGGGUGGUAAAUUUCAUCCAAAGCUAAAUAUUGGCAAGAGACCGAUAGCAAACAAGUACCGUGAGGGAAAGAUGAAAAGAACUUUGAAAAGAGAGUUAAAUAGUACGUGAAAUUGUUAAAAGGGAAACGAUUGAAAUCAGUGUUGCGAGCUGAAAAUCAACGUUGUGAUAUGGGGACUCUGAGUAGAGGUAUUUGAGAGCCUAAAAAACCUCCCUCUACCCAGUAGCUUCAUAUUCCUGCGUGCACUUUUCUGUUUUUUCGCAGGUCAACAUCAAUUUCUACCAGUGGAAAAAAAGUGGAGAAAUGUAGAACUUCGGUUUGUUAUAGUCUUCAUUCCACGCAAUGGUAGGGAUUGAGGAUAGCAGUGUACGCCAAAUUUUUAGGGGCGAAAGUCUUGGGUAGAUUACCAGAAAUUGCGCAGAGACAGCUUGCUGACUCUGCGUUUAACGUAAGAUAAUAGACUUAGGUAACUUUUUUGGUACACUAAGGAUGUUGACAAAAUGGUUUUAACCGACCCGUCUUGAAACACGGACCAAGGAGUCUAACAAAUCUGCGAGUAUUUGGGUGAUCAAACCCCACAUGCGCAAUGAAAGUGAAUGAAAGUGGGAUAACUCUCCUAGAGAGUUUGCACCAUUGACCGAUCUUUACUUUUAAGUAUAGAUUUGAGUAAGAGCAUAUUUGUUAGGACCCGAAAGAUGGUGAACUAUGCCUGAAUAGGGUGAAGCCAGAGGAAACUCUGGUGGAAGCUCGUAGCGAUUCUGACGUGCAAAUCGAUCGUCAAAUUUGGGUAUAGGGGCGAAAGACU